GGGGAUAACAUUUGGAAACAGAUGCUAAUACCGCAUAACAACAAAAGCUGCAUGGCUUUUGUUUGAAAGAUGGCUUUGGCUAUCACUCUGGGAUGGACCUGCGGUGCAUUAGCUAGUUGGUAAGGUAACGGCUUACCAAGGCGAUGAUGCAUAGCCGAGUUGAGAGACUGAUCGGCCACAAUGGAACUGAGACACGGUCCAUACUCCUACGGGAGGCAGCAGUAGGGAAUCUUCCACAAUGGGCGCAAGCCUGAUGGAGCAACACCGCGUGAGUGAAGAAGGGUUUCGGCUCGUAAAGCUCUGUUGUUGGAGAAGAACGUGCGUGAGAGUAACUGUUCACGCAGUGACGGUAUCCAACCAGAAAGUCACGGCUAACUACGUGCCAGCAGCCGCGGUAAUACGUAGGUGGCAAGCGUUAUCCGGAUUUAUUGGGCGUAAAGCGAGCGCAGGCGGUUGCUUAGGUCUGAUGUGAAAGCCUUCGGCUUAACCGAAGAAGUGCAUCGGAAACCGGGCGACUUGAGUGCAGAAGAGGACAGUGGAACUCCAUGUGUAGCGGUGGAAUGCGUAGAUAUAUGGAAGAACACCAGUGGCGAAGGCGGCUGUCUGGUCUGCAACUGACGCUGAGGCUCGAAAGCAUGGGUAGCGAACAGGAUUAGAUACCCUGGUAGUCCAUGCCGUAAACG
Molecule: ribosomal RNA, 683 nt
Filed under: uncultured bacterium
Lineage: Bacteria
Description: bacterial SSU rRNA
Rfam family: Bacterial small subunit ribosomal RNA
Source: RNAcentral